RNAcentral lists this ribosomal RNA (229 nucleotides) under uncultured bacterium. Its description in RNAcentral is "partial 16S ribosomal RNA". It matches the Rfam family "Bacterial small subunit ribosomal RNA", at positions 524 to 750 of the family's 1533-position model. The record is from RNAcentral.
UACGUAGGGUGCGAGCGUUGUCCGGAAUUAUUGGGCGUAAAGGGCUCGUAGGCGGUUUGUCGCGUCGGGAGUGAAAACACCGGGCUUAACUCGGUGCUUGCUUUCGAUACGGGCAGACUAGAGGUAUUCAGGGGGAGAACGGAAUUCCUGGUGUAGCGGUGAAAUGCGCAGAUAUCAGGAGGAACACCGGUGGCGAAGGCGGUUCUCUGGGGAAUAUCCUGACGCUGAG